GAUGAAGAACGUAGCGAAAUGCGAUACUUGGUGUGAAUUGCAGAAUCCCGUGAACCAUCGAGUCUUUGAACGCAAGUUGCGCCCGAAGCCACUAGGCCGAGGGCACGCCUGCCUGGGUGUCACACGCCGUUGCCCCCCCAUCUACUCCUUCGGGAUUGCGGGGGGGCGGAUGAUGGCCUCCCGUGCGCCUAGCCGCGCGGUUGGCAUAAAUACCAAGUCCUCGGCGACGCACGCCACGACAAUCGGUGGUUGCGAAACCUCGGUUGCCCGUCGUGUGCGUUCGUCGCGCAUCGAGGGCUCGAAAAAAUGCUCGGCUCCGGCUGGGCUUUCAACGCGACCCCAGGUCAGGCGGGGUUACCCGCUGAAUUUAAGCAUAUCAAUAAGCGGAGGA
Molecule: unclassified non-coding RNA, 391 nt
Filed under: soil metagenome
Description: partial contains 5.8S ribosomal RNA, internal transcribed spacer 2, and large subunit ribosomal RNA
Rfam family: 5.8S ribosomal RNA (bases 1-122)
Source: RNAcentral